Molecule: transfer RNA, 72 nt
Filed under: Marmota marmota marmota (Alpine marmot)
Lineage: Eukaryota; Metazoa; Chordata; Mammalia; Rodentia; Sciuridae
Also listed under: 3 other names
Rfam family: tRNA
About the family: Transfer RNA (tRNA) molecules are approximately 80 nucleotides in length. Their secondary structure includes four short double-helical elements and three loops (D, anti-codon, and T loops).
Source: Rfam by way of RNAcentral
AGGGGUGUAGCUCAGUGGUAGAGCACUUGCCUAACAUGCAUGAAGCCCUGGGUUCAAUCCCCAGAACUGCAA